This 108-nucleotide ribosomal RNA is filed under the name Lachnospiraceae bacterium OF11-28. RNAcentral's name for it is "partial 16S ribosomal RNA". It matches the Rfam family "Bacterial small subunit ribosomal RNA", at positions 1 to 107 of the family's 1533-position model. Lineage: Bacteria; Bacillati; Bacillota; Clostridia; Lachnospirales; Lachnospiraceae. The record is from RNAcentral.
UUUAACAUGAGAGUUUGAUCCUGGCUCAGGAUGAACGCUGGCGGCGUGCCUAACACAUGCAAGUCGAACGAGGUAUUUUGAUUGAAGUUUUCGGAUGGAUUUCAAGAU